CCUACGGGAGGCUGCAGUGAGGAAUAUUGGUCAAUGGACGCAAGUCUGAACCAGCCAUGCCGCGUGCAGGAAGACGGCUCUAUGAGUUGUAAACUGCUUUUGUACGAGGGUAAACGCAGAUACGCGUAUCUGUCUGAAAGUAUCGUACGAAUAAGGAUCGGCUAACUCCGUGCCAGCAGCCGCGGUAAUACGGAGGAUUCAAGCGUUAUCCGGAUUUAUUGGGUUUAAAGGGUGCGUAGGCGGUCGGAUAAGUUAGAGGUGAAAUCCCGAGGCUCAACUUCGGAAUUGCCUCUGAUACUGUCUGACUAGAGUGUAGUUGCGGAAGGCGGAAUGUGUGGUGUAGCGGUGAAAUGCUUAGAUAUCACACAGAACACCGAUUGCGAAGGCAGCUUUCCAAGCUAUUACUGACGCUGAGGCACGAAAGCGUGGGGAGCGAACAGGAUUAGAUACCCGAGUAGUC
This 460-nucleotide ribosomal RNA is filed under the name uncultured bacterium. RNAcentral describes it as "partial 16S ribosomal RNA". It matches the Rfam family "Bacterial small subunit ribosomal RNA", at positions 338 to 795 of the family's 1533-position model. The record is from RNAcentral.